Phasianus colchicus (ring-necked pheasant) is the source of this 1547-nucleotide long non-coding RNA. NCBI's taxonomy places the organism in Eukaryota, Metazoa, Chordata, Aves, Galliformes, Phasianidae. The record is from Ensembl.
GCUUAUGAGAAAGGGUGGAAAUUCUGAUACCUUUUAUUAGAAUUGUACAGAAGUAGAAGAAUCCUCACAGAGUCACGGACUCCUUUCUCUGUUGCCUUUGAAAAGUUAACACAUGUGAGGCUAUGCAAGAAGCAGACACUGCAGCGGAGGAGGAGGGAUGUGGCAAUGCAGAGGCUGGGGCUUGUGCAUUUUGAAAAGUGGCAGGACUCUGCCAGGUAGGGAUUUACAUGUACAUUUUUGUUAACAUGAUGUUAUCAUCUACUAAACAGAACAAGAAUGGUAAGCAGAUUGGAAAUGUUGGUCAGAUUUGGUGGCACAGUCAAAUGCUCUGCUUCCACCUCUCGGCAGGACAGCCAACAAUUGGUAUCGCUUUGCUCAGUCAUUCAGUUUACAGUCUCUCCUCAAGAAUUCUCAUUGUCCCUCUCCUCCCCUGCCACCACAGCAGACAGCACUGUUCUCGAAACCAAAACUUGAAAUGUUAGCCUCGGUGAAGGCAACAAAGAUGGCAGCUUUGGGAUGGGCAAAGGACUGUCCUUCAUGAUGUGCCUGGUGGGACAGGACGGUCAGUCUGGGCAGCCCCAAAUCCUACCUUUGGGAAUGCUCAGGACCAAAUUGCUCAAGGGGAGAUGGAGAUGUUCCUUACUGCCCAAAGAGGAUGUUUCUCUGUAGCCUCCAAUAGCCCCUGGUUCAUUUCUGUCACAAAUAAUUAGGGUUUUCAUCCUUUCUAAGAUAUUUAUCUUAAUCCUAGCUUGGAUGUUCUCAUUAUUCUCAUAAGCAUCUAAAUUAAACUAUUUUAUAUCAUAUUAAGUCUUUAGCCAGAAGGGUAUCGUGUGGCAAUCAGUUCCAUAGGUUAAUUAUGAACUGAAUAAAAUAGGAUUUUCUUUGUUGGUUUUUAAAUAUGUUGUUUUUCCAUGUUGUUGCAUUAGGACGAGAGGAAACCAGAAACAAGCUGUUGGUCUUCUCUCUCUUUAUCAGACAGAGAUGCGUUCGCUUUGUGAAUGGGAAACUGAAACAUGGAGAUAUUCUGACAGCUCCCAGGGAAGGAUGGAAACCCUCCUGUUCACAUCCUGGAGAUGACCCACUCAUCACAGCCCUGGGGAGAAGAUUCGUGUACCUGGUGCACAGGAGGCGCAGAGCAGGGCAGCUUGCAUCAUUCCCCUGCUGCUGGCAAGCCCUCUCCAUGGCAGAGCUGUUGCGGUGGCAGCACGCAGUCACACCGUGGCAACACGUUUCCUUGUGAAGCCUGUGGAAGAGUCUCAGACAAAGUACUGAAAGGAGUUGAUUUUCGAGCUAAAACACGUGGGUAAGUUUUAACCUGACCAUUUUGUUCCUGAGGAUCCAUAAAGGACCUCUACUGAGUUCACAGCUUACUAUUGUUCCUAGCCAUGUGCGGGAAAGAAGGAAGCAUGAAUAGUGGAAAAGACCAUGAGGAAAAGGCAGGAGUCAUCUUUUUCUGUGCAAAGUGUAGGCAGUAUGCUGGUGAUUCUGGUGAACAAAAUGGAGGGAGAAAAUGGCUAUCCUUGCCAAGCAAGAGAGGACAAAUCCAC